AAGAAGAAGCGUAUGAGGAGAUUGAAGAGGAAACGCCGAAAGAUGAGACAGAGAUCCAAAUAGGUGUUUGGACUGGGACAAAAUGGGAUUUUCUCCUGAUAUCAACAGCUUUUGCUGCACGAAGUAGGUUGCUGUAGGAUGUUUGUUAGGGGGAACUGCAUUUGUUUCUGUCUUCUAGUUUUAGUUGUAGCAACUUUUCUAGGAAUUAGUGUUCUUCAACUUGCUGGUUAAAAUGUUGAGUUGUGUUUGGUUUGCUGUUACGUUUCUAAAUUGAUUAUAGAGCUUGUUAAAAAGCUUUAUGUGCUAUGAACUGGUGCUGAAUAUAACAGUUGAUUUUUUUUUUCAGUAUUUUUAAAUGCAAAAGUCCGAUUUUGG
RNAcentral lists this unclassified non-coding RNA (375 nucleotides) under Hevea brasiliensis (rubber tree). The record is from RNAcentral. Lineage: Eukaryota; Viridiplantae; Streptophyta; Magnoliopsida; Malpighiales; Euphorbiaceae.